UUCUAGAUCUAGCAAUGACCAAAAAAGAGAAUCCCUACAACUCUAAGAUAGUUGCGGCGGUCCAAGGUAAUUGCAACAUAAUAGAACUACCAAUUCCACGCGGAUUACAGAGAUUUGGUUUAGCAUUUGUUCUACUGAAGGUGCAACUUUAGUUUCUUCAUCUUCGACUUCUACUUCAUUAUUGUAAGAGUAAAAAUCUCUCAUUUUAGUUUCUAUUGUUGCUAAAAAAUGGGAUUUUGGACAGAGAAGUUGAGGGGUAUAGGAAAUUCAAAGUGAUUGGCAAAGGGAAACGUUAUCUGUUUGGUUAAUGUGUUCCUCUGCUUAGGAUUUUUUAAAAAAAAAAAUCUUUUGCUUUUCCGAGGGAGACUGGUGGAUUGCUGAUGGGCUUCCUAUGGGCCAUGUCAUUGUGGGUGAGACCAAUAGGGGUCAAUAGAAUUCUGGCCUUUGCGCUUGUUUUUGCAAGAACGAUGAAUUCUGUAGUAAUUAUUCGAAGUUUGUGUCAUUCGAGGUUCUGAUUUGUAAUUUCGGUAUUUUUGUUCAAGGAUUAUCACUUCAUUUAGCU
RNAcentral lists this long non-coding RNA (562 nucleotides) under Nicotiana benthamiana. RNAcentral describes it as "long non-coding RNA (NBEN_LNC032547)". The record is from RNAcentral. Lineage: Eukaryota; Viridiplantae; Streptophyta; Magnoliopsida; Solanales; Solanaceae.